This 253-nucleotide ribosomal RNA is filed under the name uncultured bacterium. RNAcentral describes it as "partial 16S ribosomal RNA". It matches the Rfam family "Bacterial small subunit ribosomal RNA", at positions 524 to 776 of the family's 1533-position model. The record is from RNAcentral.
UACGUAGGUGACAAGCGUUGUCCGGAUUUACCGGGCGUAAAGAGCGCGCAGGCGGUCGUUCAAGUCGAGUGUGAAAGCCCCCGGCUCAACUGGGGAGGGUCAUUCGAUACUGAUCGACUCGAAGGCAGGAGAGGGAAGUGGAAUUCCCGGUGUAGUGGUGAAAUGCGUAGAUAUCGGGAGGAACACCAGUGGCGAAGGCGACUUCCUGGCCUGUUCUUGACGCUGAGGCGCGAAAGCUAGGGGAGCAAACGGG